Molecule: long non-coding RNA, 384 nt
Organism: Gossypium arboreum
Lineage: Eukaryota; Viridiplantae; Streptophyta; Magnoliopsida; Malvales; Malvaceae
Exons: 2
Source: RefSeq, a predicted model, not a curated record
GAAUUCUCUUCAUUUCUCUUCAUAUUCAUCAGCUGAAAAACAGCCAUGGAGGAGGGUUCAAGCUGGUUUUCAUACUCUAGCUUCAUUGCUCGGAAGCUCGUAAAGGUUGGAGGUUGGUCGGAGCAACAUCACACUAUCCAUCAUCUUGUUUUGGUAUAAAAAGUAAUCUUAUUUUGAUAUAAUGGCAUGUAUAGGUUAUCUUGGCCAAUGUUGGCAUGAAAAUAGUUGUUGUAACUUAGCCAUUGGAAUGGCUAAUAGUGGUUUGUUUUGGCAAAUUUUAAUAGGGUUAUAUAUAUAUCAUAUCAUGUUUAACUUAUAUGUAUGUGGUUUGAUUUGAUUGAAUUAUGUUAAAUAAAUGUGUUUAUAAAAAAAUAAGGAUAUAAA